Molecule: ribosomal RNA, 35 nt
Filed under: Epidalea calamita (natterjack toad)
Lineage: Eukaryota; Metazoa; Chordata; Amphibia; Anura; Bufonidae
Description: partial 12S ribosomal RNA
Source: RNAcentral
GUAACAUGGUAAGUAUACCGGAAGGUGGAGGAAAA